RNAcentral lists this ribosomal RNA (1161 nucleotides) under Triticum aestivum (bread wheat). Its description in RNAcentral is "partial small subunit ribosomal RNA". The record is from RNAcentral. Lineage: Eukaryota; Viridiplantae; Streptophyta; Magnoliopsida; Poales; Poaceae.
CCGGGUGUGGUGGAAAAUGGGCAAGGGCCGGGCCGUCACCCCCCAAGUGGCGCGCCGUAUCUUGAUCCGGAUACGGUGGCAAGUGAGCGAGGAUCGGGUCAUCGCAUCCUUAGUGGCGCGCUACAUCGGCGCCCGGAUGUAGUGGAAAAUGAGCAAGGGUCUUCGCAUUUGACUCGACGAGUGCGAAGGGUAAGGAAGCUAGCCGAGCCUAGGAGGAUUCGCUUAGGUAGCUGGAACGUAGGGUCUCUGACAGGGAAGCUUCGGGAGCUAGUUGAUGCAGCGAUGAGGAGAGGGGUUGAUAUCCUUUGCGUCCAAGAAACCAAAUGGAGAGGACAGAAGGCGAAGGAGGUGGACGAUACCGGCUUCCAGCUGUGGUACACGGGGACGGCUGCAAACAGAAAUGGCGUAGGCAUCUUGAUCAACAAGAGCCUCAAGUAUGGAGUGGUAGACGUCAGGAGACGUGGGGACCGGAUUAUCCUGGUCAAGCUGGUAGUUGAGGACUUGGUUCUCAAUGUUAUCAGCGCGUAUGCCCCGCAAGUAGGCCACAAUGAGAACACCAAGAGGGAGUUCUGGGAAGGCCUGGAAGACAUGGUUAGGAGUGUACCGAUUGGUGAGAAGCUCUUCAUAGGAGGAGACCUCAAUGGCCACAUGGGUACAUCUAACACGGGUUUUGAAGGGGCGCAUGGGGGCUUUGGCUAUGGCAUCAGCAAUCAAGAAGGAGAAGAUGUCUUAAGCUUUGCUCUAGCCUACAACAUGAUUGUAGCUAACACCCUCUUUAGAAAGAGAGAAUCGCAUCUGGUGACUUUUAGUAGUGGCCAACACUCUAGCCAGAUUGAUUUCAUCCUCUCGAGAAGAGAAGAUAGGCGUGCGUGCCUAGACUGUAAGGUGAUACCUGGAGAGAGUGUUGUACCCCAGCAUAAGCUGGUGGUUGCUGACUUCCGCUUUCGGAUUCGUGUCCAGCGGGAUAAGCGUGCCAAAGUUGCUAGAACGAAGUGGUGGAAGCUCAAGGGGGAGUUAGCUCAGGUGUUCAAGGAGAGGGUCAUUAAGGAGGGCCCUUGGGGGGAAGGAGGGGAUGCGGACAAUGUGUGGAUGAAGAUGGCGACUUGCAUUCGUAAGGUGGCCUCGGAGGAGUUUGGAGUGUCCAGGGGAAGGAGAAGCGAA